UGUUGGUCCUCCCGCAACACGAAAUCAUGAACCCCGCCAGGCCCGGAAGGGAGCAACGGUAGUGAUGGAUGUGUGUGCCGGGAUGUGGCUGGCAGGG
Marinospirillum alkaliphilum DSM 21637 is the source of this 97-nucleotide non-coding RNA. It matches the Rfam family "Bacterial small signal recognition particle RNA". From Rfam's summary of the family: The signal recognition particle (SRP) is a universally conserved ribonucleoprotein involved in the co-translational targeting of proteins to membranes. Lineage: Bacteria; Pseudomonadati; Pseudomonadota; Gammaproteobacteria; Oceanospirillales; Oceanospirillaceae. The record is from Rfam.